Molecule: long non-coding RNA, 525 nt
Organism: Anolis carolinensis (green anole)
Lineage: Eukaryota; Metazoa; Chordata; Lepidosauria; Squamata; Anolidae
Exons: 4
Source: RefSeq, a predicted model, not a curated record
UGUGAGCCCUAUAUAAUUGCUGAAAUCGGUAUUUUUUCAUUGAAGCUAGUUUGGCAUAAUGGGUUUAUUGUUAUGCUCUACAUUUGUAUCUAACACCUAUGAUGGAAAUUAUCUUUCAAAAUCACAUUUGCAUGACAUUUGGUUGCUUUGAUAUCAUCUGCAUGGCUUUUACAGUUCAAAAGUUUUAAUUUUUUUUUAAAGUUUGCAGCUGUCUUUACUUCUGCAUUUUUUAAGGAGAGAAGAAUUUGGAGUGUGAUGGAAGAUCCUUCCUUGGAGUCUAUCAAAAAGAAGCUGGAUGGCCAUCUGUCAGAGAGUUACACUAACAGUCAUCUUCUAACUCAAUUCCAUUUUGAUCUGCGGAGUCUUUCCUCCUUUUCUGCAGAAAUAUAUUGGAAGCUUCUGAAAUAUAUGGAUUUCUGAGGCAAGGCUAAACAUGCCCAGCUCUUUAAGCCGCUCCUCAUAGGGCUUGUUCUCCAGACCCCUGAUCAUUUUCGUUGUCCUCCUAUGGACACUUUCCAGCUUGUC